Molecule: ribosomal RNA, 506 nt
Filed under: uncultured bacterium
Lineage: Bacteria
Description: bacterial SSU rRNA
Rfam family: Bacterial small subunit ribosomal RNA
Source: RNAcentral
GUGCUUGCACUCCAGAGCCGAGUGGCGGACUGGUGAGUAACACGUGACUAACCUGUCUCCGGGAGGGGGACAACCUGGGGAAACCCGGGCUAAUACCGCAUGAUGUCCCAUCGCCGCAUGACGAUGGGACCAAACGGGGGCCUCUGCUUGCAAGCUCCCGCCCGGAGGGGGGGUCGCGGCGUAUCAGCUUGUUGGUGAGGUAACGGCUCACCAAGGCUGCGACGCGUAGCGGGUCUGAGAGGACGACCCGCCACAUUGGGACUGAGAUACGGCCCAGACUCCUACGGGAGGCAGCAGUGGGGAAUAUUGCGCAAUGGCCGAAAGGCUGACGCAGCGACGCCGCGUGUGGGAGGACGCCCUUCGGGGUGUAAACCACUGUCAGGGGGGACGAAACUCGGGAAGGCAAACAGCCUUUUCGACUGACGGUACCCCCAGAGGAAGCGCCGGCUAACUCCGUGCCAGCAGCCGCGGUAAGACGGAGGGCGCAAGCGUUGUUCGGAAUUACU